AGUGAACGCUGGCGGUAGGCCUAACACAUGCAAGUCGAACGGCAGCACAGGAGAGCUUGCUCUCUGGGUGGCGAGUGGCGGACGGGUGAGGAAUACAUCGGAAUCUACUUUUUCGUGGGGGAUAACGUAGGGAAACUUACGCUAAUACCGCAUACGACCUACGGGUGAAAGCAGGGGAUCUUCGGACCUUGCGCGAUUGAAUGAGCCGAUGUCGGAUUAGCUAGUUGGCGGGGUAAAGGCCCACCAAGGCGACGAUCCGUAGCUGGUCUGAGAUGAUGGUCAGCACCACUGGAACUGAGACAGGGUCCAGACUCCUACGGGAGGCAGCAGUGGGGAAUAUUGGACAAUGGGCGCAAGCCUGAUCCAGCCAUACCGCGUGGGUGAAGAAGGCCUUCGGGUUGUAAAGCCCUUUUGUUGGGAAAGAAAUCCAGCUGGUUAAUGCCCGGUUGGGAUGACGGUACCCAAAGAAUAAGCACCGGCUAACUUCGUGCCAGCCGCCGCCGUAA
Molecule: ribosomal RNA, 506 nt
Filed under: uncultured bacterium
Lineage: Bacteria
Description: partial 16S ribosomal RNA
Rfam family: Bacterial small subunit ribosomal RNA
Source: RNAcentral